Molecule: ribosomal RNA, 598 nt
Filed under: uncultured organism
Description: bacterial SSU rRNA
Rfam family: Bacterial small subunit ribosomal RNA
Source: RNAcentral
UUGAUCCUGGCUCACAACGAACGUCUGGCGGCGCGUUUAAGCAUGCAAGUCGAACGGUAGUAAGGUGCUUGCACCUUAUGAGAGUGGCGAACGGGUGAGUAACACGUAGGUGAUCUACCGUAAAGUUGGGGAUAGCCUGUGGAAACACAGGGUAAUACCGGAUAAUUCUUAUUGUUUACGGACGAUAAGGGAAAGGGGCCACGGCCCUGCUUUUCGAAGAGCCUGCGUUCCAUUAGUUAGUUGGCAGGGUAACGGCCUACCAAGGCGACGAUGGAUAGCCGGCCUGAGAGGGUGACCGGCCACACUGGGACUGAGACACGGCCCAGACUCCUACGGGAGGCAGCAGCUAAGAAUCUUCCGCAAUGGGCGAAAGCCUGACGGAGCGACGCCGCGUGGACGAAGGAGGCCGGAAGGUUGUAAAGUCCUUUUCUCGAUGAAGAAUAAGGCAGCGAGGGAAUGCGCUGUCGAUGACAUUAGUUGAGGAAUAAGCCCCGGCUAAUUACGUGCCAGCAGCCGCGGUAACACGGUAAGGGGCGAGCGUAGUCGGGAAUCAUUGGGCGUAAAGGGCGCGUAGGCGGCUUGGCAAGCCUGGUGUGAA